Molecule: ribosomal RNA, 433 nt
Filed under: uncultured bacterium
Lineage: Bacteria
Description: partial 16S ribosomal RNA
Rfam family: Bacterial small subunit ribosomal RNA
Source: RNAcentral
AACGAACGCUGGCGGCAUGCCUAACACAUGCAAGUCGAACGAGACCUUCGGGUCUAGUGGCGCACGGGUGCGUAACGCGUGGGAACCUGCCCUUAGGUUCGGAAUAACUCCCCGAAAGGGGUGCUAAUACCGGAUAAUGUCUUCGGACCAAAGAUUUAUCGCCUUUGGAUGGGCCCGCGUUGGAUUAGCUAGUUGGUAGGGUAAAAGCCUACCAAGGCGACGAUCCAUAACUGGUCUGAGAGGAUGAUCAGCCACACUGGGACUGAGACACGGCCCAGACUCCUACGGGAGGCAGCAGUGGGGAAUAUUGGACAAUGGGCGAAAGCCUGAUCCAGCAAUGCCGCGUGAGUGAUGAAGGCCUUAGGGUUGUAAAGCUCUUUUACCCGGGAUGAUAAUGACAGUACCAGGAGAAUAAGCUCCGGCUAACUCCGUG